This 368-nucleotide ribosomal RNA is filed under the name Myxococcales bacterium. RNAcentral's name for it is "bacterial SSU rRNA". It matches the Rfam family "Bacterial small subunit ribosomal RNA", at positions 1 to 355 of the family's 1533-position model. The record is from RNAcentral. Lineage: Bacteria; Pseudomonadati; Myxococcota; Myxococcia; Myxococcales.
UUAAACUGGAGAGUUUGAUCCUGGCUCAGAACGAACGUUAGCGGCGCGCUUAACACAUGCAAGUCGAGCGAGAAAGGGCUUCGGCCCCGGUAAAGCGGCGCACGGGUGAGUAACACGUGGGUAAUCUGCCCUCGAGUGGUGGAUAACUCCCCGAAAGGGGAGCUAAUACAGCAUAAGACCACGACUCUCCGGAGUUGGGGUCAAAGCGGGCCUCUCCAUGGAAGCUCGCGCUUGAGGAUGAGCCUGCGGCCCAUCAGCUUGUUGGUGGUGUAAAAGACCACCAAGGCGAAGACGGGUAGCUGGUCUGAGAGGAUGAACAGCCACACUGGAACUGAGACACGGUCCAGACUCCUACGGGAGGCAGCAGU